Saimiri boliviensis boliviensis (Bolivian squirrel monkey) is the source of this 105-nucleotide small nuclear RNA. Lineage: Eukaryota; Metazoa; Chordata; Mammalia; Primates; Cebidae. The record is from Ensembl.
GUGCUUGCUUCGGCAGCACAUAUGCUAAAAUUGGAACGUUACAGAGAUUAGCAUGGCCCCAUGCGCAAGGAUGAUACGCAAAUUCAUGAAGCAUUCCAUAUUUAA